CCUACGGGUGGCAGCAGUGAGGAAUAUUGGGCAAUGGGCGCGAGCCUGAACCAGCCAAGUCGCGUGAGGGAAGACGGUCCUCUGGAUUUUAAACCUCUUUUGACGGGGAGCAAAAGACGCCACGCGUGGCGUUCCGAGAGUACCCGAAGAUUAAGCAUCGGCUAACUCCGUGCCAGCAGCCGCGGCAAUACGGAGGAUGCGAGCGUUAUCCGGAUUUAUUGGGUUUAAAGGGUGCGCAGGCGGAAGAUCAAGUCAGCGGUAAAAUUGAGAGGCUGAACCUCUUCGAGCCGUUGAAACUGGUUUACUUGAGUGAGUGAGAGGUAUGCGGAAUGCGUGGUGUAGCGGUGAAAUGCGUAGAUAUCACGAAGAACACCGAUUGCGAAGGCAGUAUACCGGCGCUCAACUGACGCUGAUGCACGAAAGUGUGGGUAGCGAACAGGAUUAGAUACCCCGGUAGUC
This 459-nucleotide ribosomal RNA is filed under the name uncultured bacterium. RNAcentral's name for it is "partial 16S ribosomal RNA". It matches the Rfam family "Bacterial small subunit ribosomal RNA", at positions 338 to 795 of the family's 1533-position model. The record is from RNAcentral.